UACGUAGGGGGCUAGCGUUGCUCGGAAUCACUGGGCGUAAAGCGCACGUAGGCGGAUUGUUAAGUCAGGGGUGAAAUCCUGGAGCUCAACUCCAGAACUGCCUUUGAUACUGGCGAUCUUGAGUCCGGGAGAGGUGAGUGGAACUCCGAGUGUAGAGGUGAAAUUCGUAGAUAUUGGGAAGAACACCAGUGGCGAAGGCGGCUAACUGGUCCGAUACUGACGCUGAGGUGCGAAAGCGUGGGGAGCAAACAGG
Molecule: ribosomal RNA, 253 nt
Filed under: uncultured bacterium
Lineage: Bacteria
Description: partial 16S ribosomal RNA
Rfam family: Bacterial small subunit ribosomal RNA
Source: RNAcentral